RNAcentral lists this ribosomal RNA (253 nucleotides) under uncultured bacterium. RNAcentral's name for it is "partial 16S ribosomal RNA". It matches the Rfam family "Bacterial small subunit ribosomal RNA", at positions 524 to 776 of the family's 1533-position model. The record is from RNAcentral.
UACGAAGGGGGCUAGCGUUGUUCGGAAUUACUGGGCGUAAAGCGCACGUAGGCGGCUUUUUAAGUCAGAGGUGAAAUCCUGGAGCUCAACUCCAGAACUGCCUUUGAUACUGGAGAGCUUGAGUCCGGGAGAGGUGAGUGGAACUGCGAGUGUAGAGGUGAAAUUCGUAGAUAUUCGCAAGAACACCAGUGGCGAAGGCGGCUCACUGGCCCGGUACUGACGCUGAGGUGCGAAAGCGUGGGGAGCAAACAGG